Molecule: ribosomal RNA, 280 nt
Filed under: uncultured prokaryote
Description: partial 16S ribosomal RNA
Rfam family: Bacterial small subunit ribosomal RNA
Source: RNAcentral
UACGUAGGGGCUAGCGUUAUCCGGAAUUACUGGGCGUAAAGGGUGCGUAGGUGGUUUCUUAAGUCAGAGGUGAAAGGCUACGGCUCAACCGUAGUAAGCCUUUGAAACUGAGAAACUUGAGUGCAGGAGAGGAGAGUAGAAUUCCUAGUGUAGCGGUGAAAUGCGUAGAUAUCGGGAGGAACACCGGUGGCGAAGGCGGCUUUCUGGCCAGUUACUGACGCUCAUGCGCGAAAGCUGGGGUAGCGAACCGGAUUAGAUACCCUGGUAGUCCCUGAGCGGG